AUAAACUGGCAUGUUCUGAAAGAAUCACUCUGGAUGCUGUGUGGAGAAAACACUGAAAAGAAUUCUAGAGUGAAAGUUUCAUGAAUAUAAGAAGCAAGACAAGGAAGUGGCUUAUGCUUAAGGCCUUAAAGGCAACCACUGUGACAAUCCAGCCAUUCUCUGGAGAAUUCAGCAGAAAGCCAGUUGGAAGAAUUUGUUAUCUCGAUUAUGGAGGGCGACAAGUCCCACAGUCUGCC
RNAcentral lists this long non-coding RNA (236 nucleotides) under Homo sapiens (human). RNAcentral describes it as "non-protein coding lnc-BMT2-1:13". The record is from RNAcentral. Lineage: Eukaryota; Metazoa; Chordata; Mammalia; Primates; Hominidae.